Molecule: ribosomal RNA, 252 nt
Filed under: uncultured bacterium
Lineage: Bacteria
Description: partial 16S ribosomal RNA
Rfam family: Bacterial small subunit ribosomal RNA
Source: RNAcentral
GCCGGAGGAUGCAAUCGUUAUCCGGAAUCAUUGGGCGUAAAGCGUCCGCAGGUGGAUUGAUAAGUCGGCCGUUAAAGCCUGGGGCUAACCCCGGAAAGGCGGUGGAAACUGUCAGUCUAGAGGCAGGUAGGGGUAGAGGGAAUUCCCAGUGUAGCGGUGAAAUGCGUAGAGAUUGGGAAGAACACCAGUGGCGAAAGCGCUCUACUGGACCUGCACUGACACUCAGGGACGAAAGCUAGGGGAGAGAAAGGG